This 636-nucleotide ribosomal RNA is filed under the name Escherichia coli. RNAcentral describes it as "partial 23S ribosomal RNA". It matches the Rfam family "Bacterial large subunit ribosomal RNA", at positions 1038 to 1676 of the family's 2925-position model. The record is from RNAcentral. Lineage: Bacteria; Pseudomonadati; Pseudomonadota; Gammaproteobacteria; Enterobacterales; Enterobacteriaceae.
GCUAAGGUCCCAAAGUCAUGGUUAAGUGGGAAACGAUGUGGGAAGGCCCAGACAGCCAGGAUGUUGGCUUAGAAGCAGCCAUCAUUUAAAGAAAGCGUAAUAGCUCACUGGUCGAGUCGGCCUGCGCGGAAGAUGUAACGGGGCUAAACCAUGCACCGAAGCUGCGGCAGCGACACUAUGUGUUGUUGGGUAGGGGAGCGUUCUGUAAGCCUGUGAAGGUGUGCUGUGAGGCAUGCUGGAGGUAUCAGAAGUGCGAAUGCUGACAUAAGUAACGAUAAAGCGGGUGAAAAGCCCGCUCGCCGGAAGACCAAGGGUUCCUGUCCAACGUUAAUCGGGGCAGGGUGAGUCGACCCCUAAGGCGAGGCCGAAAGGCGUAGUCGAUGGGAAACAGGUUAAUAUUCCUGUACUUGGUGUUACUGCGAAGGGGGGACGGAGAAGGCUAUGUUGGCCGGGCGACGGUUAUCCCGGUUUAAGCGUGUAGGCUGGUUUUCCAGGCAAAUCCGGAAAAUCAAGGCUGAGGCGUGAUGACGAGGCACUACGGUGCUGAAGCAACAAAUGCCCUGCUUCCAGGAAAAGCCUCUAAGCAUCAGGUAACAUCAAAUCGUACCCCAAACCGACACAGGUGGUCAGGUAGAG